This 1038-nucleotide long non-coding RNA is filed under the name Equus caballus (horse). RNAcentral's name for it is "lncRNA (ENSECAG00000028517.3)". The record is from RNAcentral. Lineage: Eukaryota; Metazoa; Chordata; Mammalia; Perissodactyla; Equidae.
GGGCAGGCAAACAACAGCAUUACAGUAAGAUAACUGUGGUGGUCUAAUGGAUAAGAGUUUGUGCUCUUACCACAGGGCGCAGGUUCAUUUCUCCGUCAAGGAACCACACUACCUGUCUGUCGGUUGUUAUACUGUGGCAGCUGUGAGAUGCUGUGACACUGAAAGCUAUGCCACUGGUAUUUCUAAUACCAGCAGGCUCACUCAUGGCAGACAGGUUUCAGCAAGGCUUCCAGACUAACACAGACUAGGAAGAAGGACCUGGCCACCCACUUCUGAAGAAAUUGGCCAUGAAAACCCUAUGAAUAGCAGCGGAGCAUUGUCUGAUAGCACUGGGCGGUGAGAGGAUGGCGCAAAAAGUCUGGGCAGGGUCCUCUCUGCUGUCCACAGGGUCACUGGGAGUUGGAUCGACUCGUUUUCACAAAGAUAACUGGACAAAAGAGAGCAGGGAAACAAAAGACAGAAGGAAACACAGAGACUGAACACUAUGCUACGCCCGGAGUUGCGCUUCCUCGCAGAGUCGCGACGCCUCAGUCUCCCUCUGCCAGAUAACUACUGUUCUCGCCAGUUUUACCAAUAAAAUAAUUGAGGUUUUGAGAGUUUAGAUAAUUUCCUCCACGUCAGGCAGCUGGGAAGGUGAAGCGUUUGCCCACCUCAGGGUCUUGUACUAUGUCUAUCGAGUGUCUAUCUUCCUUCUCAACUGUAUCAUCACGACCACCCCCACACACGUCUGCUUAACAUUAUUCACCAUUAUUAAGCAGGGCUACCAUGUUCAGCUUCAUAGACUGUGCUCUGCAAAAGACCCCAGAGCACCAUUCACAUAGAUUUCAAUGUAAAAGAUGCUCCCUAUGGUUGUACAGUGCCCAACCUGCACAAACACACAUGGCAAACCUCUCUUAAGGUUUUGGCUUAAGCAUUACUUCCUCGGGGGGGCUGGAUAGAUCUCCACUCACGCUGCACCUGUAUUCUCCUUCAAAGCAUCUAUAACAAGUACACUUAAGUAGUUAUUUUCAUAAUUAAUGUUUGAUAUCUGACCUCCCU